RNAcentral lists this long non-coding RNA (475 nucleotides) under Eucalyptus grandis. RNAcentral's name for it is "long non-coding RNA (EGRA_LNC003617)". The record is from RNAcentral. Lineage: Eukaryota; Viridiplantae; Streptophyta; Magnoliopsida; Myrtales; Myrtaceae.
CGGCACGAAUGGUACAGCAAAGGCGGUGGCUUGGCACUCAAAUCCCAUGGCCUCCUUAGAGAUGGGGUGUUCGGUGGUGAUGGGGGUGGCUUGAGGUGACGAGGAUGGCCACAGUGGCUCGAGCAGACGACAGUGAUGGCAGCUUGCGGCAACGUCAAUGACGCCAAGGUUGCCAACGGUGAUGAAGAUGGUGUUGGUGGAAGGGGUAGAGGUGUGGGCGGUGGUGAUGGGGUGGCGUGGGUGAUGGUGGUGGGGAUGGGGUUGAUGGUAGUGGAAAGAAAUACGGAGGAGGUUGAGGAAAAAGAAAAACUAAAGGAGGGGGGAAGAAUGGACAGAGGAUGGGGGAGAAAGGCGUGAGGGAAGGAGGGGGAAUGAAGUGGAGGUGGAGAAGAAAGAGAGAAGGGAGGAUGGGCGGUCUGCAGAGGGAGGAGGCGUGAGGGAAGGGAGAAGAAAGAGAGAGAAGAAAAAGAAAGAA